UACGUAGGGGGCAAGCGUUGUCCGGAUUUUUAUUGGGCGUAAAGAGCGUGUAGGCGGCCAUUCAGGUCAGCUGUGAAAACUCGAGGCUCAACCUCGAGACGUCGGUUUGAAACCGUUUUGGCUAGAGUCCGGAAGAGGAGAGUGGAAUUCCCGGUGUAGCGGUGAAAUGCGCAGAUAUCGGGAAGAACACCCUGGCGAAGGCGGCUCUCUGGGACGGUACUGACGCUAGACGCGAAAAGCGUGGGGAGCGAACAGG
RNAcentral lists this ribosomal RNA (256 nucleotides) under uncultured bacterium. Its description in RNAcentral is "partial 16S ribosomal RNA". It matches the Rfam family "Bacterial small subunit ribosomal RNA", at positions 524 to 776 of the family's 1533-position model. The record is from RNAcentral.